UAGUAUGAUUAAUUCAUACAUAAAUCACCACUAAUUAAAUAAUUAAUUAUGGGAUCUCACCAUCUCUAAUCCAUUUAAUUACCUGUAGAAUCAUACAAUUAGAAAAAAAAAAUGCACAUAGUAGUUGAUGUGGUCAUGACCUAUGCUAUAUAUUAAUUUAGAUAUGCAAAUUUACGCCAAAUAAAUAAAUAAAUAAAAACUAGCUAAGUUGAAUAAUUGAUAUGUUCAUAUGUAAUAAUUAUGUCAACGAAUUAAUAUAAUAAACAUAAUAUUGAAAGCUAGCGUAUAGAUUAGUAGUAACAUUACCAAAUCGACCGAUUGUUGAGCUG
Molecule: unclassified non-coding RNA, 329 nt
Filed under: Hevea brasiliensis (rubber tree)
Lineage: Eukaryota; Viridiplantae; Streptophyta; Magnoliopsida; Malpighiales; Euphorbiaceae
Source: RNAcentral